Molecule: long non-coding RNA, 1796 nt
Filed under: Triticum aestivum (bread wheat)
Lineage: Eukaryota; Viridiplantae; Streptophyta; Magnoliopsida; Poales; Poaceae
Description: long non-coding RNA (TAES_LNC015840)
Source: RNAcentral
UAAAAAGAAUCCUACUCUUCGAUAUAUAUAAUCCUAAGACUCAAAAUAGUUUUCUUCUAGACUCAACAAGGGCCAACAAUCAAGGGGACUCCUAUGGUCGGUCGAGGCUCUGAUACCAACUUGCCACGCCCAAUAUGCGACCCUAUCCAAAAGGAACUUAAAGGUCCCACCAAGGAUAGACCUGCAUAUUGAAACACUUUUGCAAGGUGGAUAUCAUUACAUCAACAUUACAUAAUAGAUGGGGAUACAUACAUAAGGCAUACAAUGCCACUCGAAUACAACAUCACAAUACAUAAGAUCAACAUCCGACUACGGAUGAAACACAAACAGAAGCUCAAACGACUUCCACCCUGCUAGCCCAGGCUGCCGACCUGGAACCUAUCCCCUGAUCGAAGAAGCAGAAGAAGAACUCAACGCAAGCAAGCAUCGCUCUCGCGUCAUGAUCAUCGCAUAACCUGUACCUGCAACUAUUGUUGUAGUAAUCUGUGAGCCACGAGGACUCAACAAUCCCAUUACCAUGGGUACCAAGGCUAACAAAGCUUAAAGGGAAAAGGAAGGGGUAAAGUGGUGAGGCUGCAGCAGCGACUAAGCAUAUAUGGUGGCUAACAUACGCAAAUAAGAGCGAGAAGAGAGCAAGCGGAACGGUCGUGAAGCUAGCAAUGAUCAAGAAGUGAUCCUGAACUCCUACUUACAUCAAACAUAACCCAGAAACCGUGUUCACUUCCCGGACUCUGCCGAAAAGAGACCAUCACGGCUACACACGCGGUUGAUGCGUUUUAAUUCGGAUCUGGUGUCAAGUUGUCUACAACCGAACAUUAACAAAUUCCCAUAUGCCAAUAACCGCAGGCACGGCUUUCGAAAGAUUAUACCCUGUAGGGGUGUCCCAACUUAGCCCAUGACAAGCUCUCGCGAUCAACGAAGGAAUAGACCUUCUCCCAGGAAGACCCGAUCAGACUCGGAAUCCCGGUUUACAAGACAUUUCGACAAUGGUAAAACAAGACCAGCAAGACCGCCCGAUGCGCCGACAAUCCCGAUAGGAGCUGCACAUAUCUCGUUCUCAGGGCAACACCGGAUAAGCGAAGCGUACAGGAACCGACGAAUCCAAGUUUCCAAGGAAAUGGCCCCGCACGGUGCUCUAGUUUGGACCAACACUUAGACAAGCAUUGGCCCGGGGGGCUGUAAUAAAGAUGACCCUUGGGUUAAUUACUCCCAAGGGAAAUAUAGGUGGUGGUGAGGCAAAUGGUAAAAGUCAAUGUUGGGCAUUGCUGGAGGAGUUUUAUUCAACGCGAACUGUCGAGGGGGUCCCAUAAAUCACCCGACCGCGUAAGGAACGCAAAAUCCAGGAACAUAACACCGGUAUGACGGAAACUAGGGCGGCAAGAGUGGAACAAAACACCAGGCAUAAGGCCGAGCCUUCCACCCUUUACCAAAUAUAUAGAUGCAUUAAUAAUAUAAGAGAUAUUAUGAUAUCCCAACAUAAUCCUGUCCACCAUGGAGCAAUCUUCAACUUCACCUGAAACUAGCAAUGCUAUAAGAGGGGCUGAGCAAAGCGGUAACAUAGCCAAACAACGGUUUGCAUAGGAAAGGUGUCAAAGGUUAGAGGUUCAUGGCAAUAUGGGAUGGCUCGAUAAACAGGUGAUAGGUAGCGUAGCAUAGCGAUAGAACGAAACAACUAGCAUAGCAAUGAUAGUAGUGAGAUCCAGGGUAACGGUCAUCUUGCCUGAAAUCCUGCUAGGAAGAAGAACGAGUCCAUGAAGUAGACGAACCAACGUAGUCGAACAAAUAUUCACGAACGC